Molecule: RNA transcript, 2723 nt
Organism: Phascolarctos cinereus (koala)
Lineage: Eukaryota; Metazoa; Chordata; Mammalia; Diprotodontia; Phascolarctidae
Gene: SCCPDH
Gene name: saccharopine dehydrogenase (putative)
Source: RefSeq, a predicted model, not a curated record
GCCGGCUCCUCGGCGCGCUGUGUUGGGCGUAGACACAGAGUGAGCGGCAGUGAUCCUGAUCCCUUGCUUGCUAGUCAUGGCGACCGAAAAGAGGCCUUAUCGCUUUGUGGUCCUCGGAGCCUCCGGCUUCACCGGCCAGUACGUGGCUCAGGAGGUGGCCCGGCAGCAGAUGAACCCGGAGCUACGAGGCUCCGCGCUGCCCUGGGCUGUGGCCGGCCGGAGUCGGGAGAAGCUGCUGCAGGUGUUGGAGAAGGCAGCACAGAAAUUGGAGAGACCUACACUUCCAGAUGAAGUUGGUAUAAUAAUCUGUGAUAUCAUUAAUCCAGCCUCUCUUGAUGAAAUGGCUAAACAAGCAUCUGUUGUUCUCAAUUGUAUAGGACCAUAUCGAUUUUAUGGAGAACCUGUGGUCAAAGCAUGUAUUGAAAAUGGAGCUAGCUAUGUUGACAUCUCUGGCGAACCACAGUUUCUGGAAGAAAUGUAUUGGAAGUAUCAUGAAAAAGCUGCAGAGAAAGGGGUAUAUGUUAUUGGAAGCAGUGGUUUUGGUUCCAUUCCAGCUGAUCUAGGAGUAUUAUAUACCAGAAAUAAAUUGAAAGGUACUCUGACUGCCGUUGAAAGUUUCCUGACAGUAAAUUCAGGACCUGAGGGAAUGUGUAUUCAUGAUGGAACUUGGAAGUCAGCUGUUCAUGGUUUUGGUGACCAGAAGCGUUUAAGAAACCUACGAAAACAAUCAAAUAUGAAACCUGUUCCAGUUGUUGGUUCGAAAUUGAAAAGAAGAUGGCCUGUUUCUUACUGUAGUGAACUGCAUGAAUAUUCUAUCCCAUUCAUGGGAGCUGAUGUCUCUGUUGUGAAGAGGACACAGCGGUUCUUGUAUGAAGACUUGCAGGAAACACCAGUUCAGUACGCUGCUUAUGUGACUGUUGGAGGCCUCACUUCCAUUAUUAAGCUGAUGUUUGCGGGACUUUUCUUUUUACUCUUCGUGAAGUUUAGCAUUGGAAGGCAACUUCUGGUAAAAUUUCCAUGGUUUUUCUCCUUCGGGUAUUUCUCACAACAAGGACCAACGCAGAAACAGAUGGAUGAUGCUUCAUUUACAUUUACAUUCUUUGGUCAAGGAUAUAGCCAGGACCAUACUACAAAACAUGGCAAACCCAAUAUUAAAAUUUGCACUCAAGUGAAAGGACCAGAGCCUGGUUAUGUGGCUACACCCAUAGCAAUGGUUCAGGCAGCUGUGACUCUUUUAAAAGAUACCUCUGAGCUUCCUAAGGGAGGUGGUGUCUUCACACCAGGAGCCGCUUUCUCAAAAACCAAGCUGAUUGAAAGACUCAACCAAUGUGGCAUUGAAUUUAGUGUCAUUAGCAGCUCUGAAGUCUAAAAUUUAGAAAUAUUUAUAAAAUUGCAUGAAUUAACAGCUUCUCCAUUUGAUACUUGAAAUUCUUAUUUCCUUGUGAUUAGGGCAGAAAGGCUUUCAUAAAAAGCAGUUUGUGCUUGGCACACAUGCGCUAUGUUGCUAUUCUUAACUGAUAUCACUGCUUGUCAGAGCAUCAGAUAUUUCCCUUACGUAGAUGUGAAGUGGCUGGUCAGGUGGGAGAAGUGAGCUUUGAAACAUGGAGGGGAACUUUGCAGUGAGUUUCCCUGAUGCUUUUAUGUGCCUUUGCUAUUCAAGCUUGAUUCUCACUACCCUCUAACUAGCUUUGGUUAUUGAGUGAGAUGAAGACUAAGUACAGGUGCCAUCUAGGUGAUUGCUUGUGUACUGACUUGUCUCUCAUAUUUACACAGGAGUAUGAAUGUGCUUCUCAUGCCCCAACUUACCUGCUAAUGAUAUUUAGUGAGUCUGUCUUCUGGCUGCAUUUGUAAAGACUAUACUUGGAUGUGCUGAUUUUUCUUUGAUUUUCAGUGCCCAAAAAUAAUGUAAUACCUAAGGAGGCCCUGGCUUUGUCACAUAGAGCUCAGUUGAGAACCAUAUUCUGUACCUCAUUUCUACUGUUACCUACAGAAGUUAACUCUUCACAUUUUGAUAGGCAAAAGAGGUUUAGUGACUAAUACCUCCCAGGAUGCUGCUAAAUGUGUUGGAAAGAAAAUCCAUUUACCCAUAGAAUAUGGAAGUAGCUGGUUACUUACAGGAGGCCUGUUAUGUCUUAGCUUGAGAAACUGUCCUCUUACUAUGUUCAUACUUCGAUAGAAGACCUUAAGAGCUUUGGCAAAGUCAGCAUCGUUGCUGAUCCGAGGCGUGUACAUCUGAGGAGUGUCUUUUUGUGAUGCUGCCUGUGCAGUUAUUCUGGAUGCACUGGAUAGUUUAUGAUCUGGAAGAAAAGGGGUUUUAUUCAGGGUUUUUUUCAGGGUUACUCAAUAUGUAGGCAUAGUCUACCUAAAAUAAAUGAUAGGGAAACAUGUGUUUGCAAAACUUUUACCACCCUGUUAAGUGAAACAUUUAAGUAAUACUGAAGAAUUACUCUGCAGAGCAGCAAAUACAUUGUUCUUCCUUGGCUUAGUAGUUAUAUCAGAAACAUUCUAAUUGGAAGCCUAUUAUGAUUGAUAUCUUAACAUAAUCAAAGCUUAAGUGCAUCACUGACCUUGUCCAGGACCACAUCCCUUUAGGGAAUCCUUGAGAAGUACGUUCUCUUCUCUUAGGGCUCUGUUAAUGUUUCUGAGCAGUUCUGUUUCCUGUUCUAACUUCAGCAGCUUCAAAUAAAGUUCUGCCAUUUGGUUUGAUGUAGCCUAUAAAGUAA